GAUGAACGCUGGCGGCGUGCCUAAUACAUGCAAGUCGAGCGAACGGACGAGAAGCUUGCUUUUCUGAUGUUAGCGGCGGACGGGUGAGUAACACGUGGAUAACCUACCUAUAAGACUGGGAUAACUUCGGGAAACCGGAGCUAAUACCGGAUAAUAUUUUGAACCGCAUGGUUCAAAAGUGAAAGACGGUCUUGCUGUCACUUAUAGAUGGAUCCGCGCUGCAUUAGCUAGUUGGUAAGGUAACGGCUUACCAAGGCAACGAUGCAUAGCCGACCUGAGAGGGUGAUCGGCCACACUGGAACUGAGACACGGUCCAGACUCCUACGGGAGGCAGCAGUAGGGAAUCUUCCGCAAUGGGCGAAAGCCUGACGGAGCAACGCCGCGUGAGUGAUGAAGGUCUUCGGAUCGUAAAACUCUGUUAUUAGGGAAGAACAUAUGUGUAAGUAACUGUGCACAUCUUGACGGUACCUAAUCAGAAAGCCGCGGCUAACUACGUGCCAGCAGCCGCGGUAAUACGUAGGUGGCAAGCGUUAUCCGGAAUUAUUGGGCGUAAAGCGCGCGUAGGCGGUUUUUUAAGUCUGAUGUGAAAGCCCACGGCUCAACCGUGGAGGGUCAUUGGAAACUGGAAAACUUGAGUGCAGAAGAGGAAAGUGGAAUUCCAUGUGUAGCGGUGAAAUGCGCAGAGAUAUGGAGGAACACCAGUGGCGAAGGCGACUUUCUGGUCUGUAACUGACGCUGAUGUGCGAAAGCGUGGGGAUCAAACAGGAUUAGAUACCCUGGUAGUCCACGCCGUAAACGAUGAGUGCUAAGUGUUAGGGGGUUUCCGCCCCUUAGUGCUGCAGCUAACGCAUUAAGCACUCCGCCUGGGGAGUACGACCGCAAGGUUGAAACUCAAAGGAAUUGACGGGGACCCGCACAAGCGGUGGAGCAUGUGGUUUAAUUCGAAGCAACGCGAAGAACCUUACCAAAUCUUGACAUCCUUUGACAACUCUAGAGAUAGAGCCUUCCCCUUCGGGGGACAAAGUGACAGGUGGUGCAUGGUUGUCGUCAGCUCGUGUCGUGAGAUGUUGGGUUAAGUCCCGCAACGAGCGCAACCCUUAAGCUUAGUUGCCAUCAUUAAGUUGGGCACUCUAAGUUGACUGCCGGUGACAAACCGGAGGAAGGUGGGGAUGACGUCAAAUCAUCAUGCCCCUUAUGAUUUGGGCUACACACGUGCUACAAUGGACAAUACAAAGGGCAGCGAAACCGCGAGGUCAAGCAAAUCCCAUAAAGUUGUUCUCAGUUCGGAUUGUAGUCUGCAACUCGACUACAUGAAGCUGGAAUCGCUAGUAAUCGUAGAUCAGCAUGCUACGGUGAAUACGUUCCCGGGUCU
Molecule: ribosomal RNA, 1372 nt
Filed under: uncultured bacterium
Lineage: Bacteria
Description: bacterial SSU rRNA
Rfam family: Bacterial small subunit ribosomal RNA
Source: RNAcentral